CCUGAGACCCUAGACCUACACCCCUUUAGAAUCCGCCACAAUACACACAACCCCCACCCCUGAACUUCUUAUUCUUCCAUUUUGAAAACAACAGACCUCAGCCCAAAAAUUUCCUCUUCAAGAUGGACCAGUCGCCCCUCCUCAUGAGACCAACUGAUUCCCCCCCUUAGCUUGGAAGAAAAUGGAACAACUUCACAAAGAAGGAGAAGCAGCUGCAAAAAUCAACAACGAACCAACCUUCAUCUCUUUAACCACAACUCAUAGCGAUCCCGUCCCACCACCAUAGUCGCCGGAGAUUCGACCACCAUACUUACACACACAGCGGAAAACACAGAUCCGAAACAAAACAAACAAAAAGGGCUUGAGCUCAGUUCUUUUUCGAUUAUGAAAUAAAAAAACACACCAAAAAAAUGCAAGAAAUGAGAGGGGAGGGACGAAAUGGAGGUUGAUUGGAUUUUCAGUUUGUUUAGGCUUUAAAUUAUUGAUAUAUAUAUAUAUAUACACACACAUACACAUCUAUACAAAGAGAUUUCAGUUCCUUGUUAGUUUUCAUUUUCGAUUCUGCGUAUCAAAAGGACCAAAGGUUUUUAAUUCUUCCUUGAUUUCUCAUUGUGGGGUUCGUUGAAUUCGUUUUAGUACGGAGAUUUCUGGUCCUGUUUUGUCCAUACUAAUUCUGCUGGAAAUCCCUUGUUGCUAUGGAAUCCGAUUAAAGUGUCAAGUGUCAUUUGAGGUUCACGGUUCCGGUUCGAUUGUUGCUGUCCUGUUCUUGUUCUGUUGCACGUUCAAAGAUCUGCCCGUAUUCAUCUCUGAAUAUAAUAAGUAGAAAUUAUGCACAUUCAGGUUCGUCCCCGUGCUUUUUCUCUUAUUGUAUUACUGUAUUGAUCAAAACAGAAUCUGAAAAGCUAUUUUUCUUGAGUUCUUGCUGAUUGUUCUGAUUUGUGCGAUCGAAACUUGCCAUUAAAUGAAUUUUGAUUAGUGACCUUUUUUCUCGUGACUUUCACAAACAUCCCGGUGCGUUCCUAUUGGUUUGAGGUUAGUGAAUUCGUUCUUGAUUUUCUUUGUGUGUUGUUGAUUCAGUGUGGUCAUGCCAAGUUAAGUCGCCGGCCAGUUUUGGUAAGAGGUGCAAUCGCCUGGCUUAGUCUACUUCGGACUUGAUUCUUCUCUGAAAAUGCUAAACUAAUGAUCGUGUCUAGUGAUAAUGUCUACAUAUCUUGCUUCCUCUAUGGUUGAAAUUGAUAUUUAACAGAGUUAUCAUAGUUUGUAUUCAUGUUUUUUUGGAUAAUUUCGAGCUCAAUCUACGCCUGUCGAUGCUCGGAUUCAUGAAUUAUGGUAGUUGAAUUUUCAGUUGUGCUUGGUCCCUUGUAAGGCUAUAUCCGCUUCUGGUUCUGGGUCUAUUUGGGUCUGCGGUUCCGGUUCAGGCGGUUCAGGCGGUUCCGGAGCCGGAACCGCUACCAUACGGUUCCGGAACCGUCCGGUUCCGGCGGUUCCCGGCGGUUCUGAAUUUUUUUUUUUAAAACCAAUAUCUUGUAUAGUAGUCAUUAGUAUAUUGU
This 1550-nucleotide long non-coding RNA is filed under the name Nicotiana benthamiana. Its description in RNAcentral is "long non-coding RNA (NBEN_LNC023081)". Lineage: Eukaryota; Viridiplantae; Streptophyta; Magnoliopsida; Solanales; Solanaceae. The record is from RNAcentral.